Drosophila gunungcola (fruit fly) is the source of this 2360-nucleotide long non-coding RNA. RefSeq lists it as uncharacterized. The record is from RefSeq and is a predicted model, not a curated record. Lineage: Eukaryota; Metazoa; Arthropoda; Insecta; Diptera; Drosophilidae. The transcript is spliced from 7 exons.
GGAAAAUUUUAACAAUAAAAUACUUAUAUCAGUCACUCUGUUAAGACUUCACAGUAAAAAUGCGGGGGAGAAGCAAAUCAAACGCACAAAGGGAGCGCCGGAGAUCGGGAGAGAAUGGAGAGAGAGAGCCGGAGGUGGACCGAAACAGUUAGCCGCUAAUUGCAAGCAUGCGUCGCCACAGCUUUUGUCACCCGCAGAUUUGCUGCGGUGGACAUUUGCUGAAUCAUUUGUUUAUGGCCGAAUCAAGAGUGUGUUUAUAUUAAUUACCGUUUUAAGCUGCCUCACUGUUCUGUUUUCCUCUGCUGCUGCUGCUUCUUCCACGCUGGAAUUUGAAAUUCUUUGCUGUCAAACACUUCAAUGAAAACUUUUAUGUGGAGCAAUUGAUAAAGCCGCUCACGCACACACUGACACUGGGCUGCCGGACUCUACGCACACACGCACGCGCUUUGGCAUUUUCGCAAUAGCAAUAUCCAUCGAUCGCCGCGUUUUGAUUAAUUGUUUAAAUUACGUUUGUUAUUAUUGUUCGGCUGGGCCUCGAAAAGCUUCCGCAUCGAACCGCACUCGAGAGCUUUAAAAAAAUAACUGUGCAGCAGCAACUGAUCAAUCGACUUUUGGGGCCUCGCUGUUCUCUUUCUUUGCCACUCUCUACCACUCUCCCGAUCUCUCUCUCGCGCUGGGAGCGACAAGUGGGGAUUACAACAACAACUCUGGUUGUAUGAAUGAAUUUCAUUUGGCACGCUCUGCUUUAAGAGAGCUAGAGAGGGGAGCGUCGCUCUUAAGAUUUACUCUUUAUUGUAUAGCAGGUUAUUUCUGCUGAGUGAUUAUUAUCAUUAUGAAGUGAUCUGAUUUGCUGCUGAUAUUAAGGCAAGACCGGUCAAUAAUUACACUGGCUAACAAAAGCGAAAGCUUGUUUAAAAAGGGUUGAAAUAUAGGCAAUGGUGCAAUUUAACUUACAUACCCUUACAUACAGCGUAAGCUUAAAGUAUUUUAAAAUCGUUUUAAGCAAUAUUACCUAAAAAAAACAUUUAUAAAAUAAUAACCGUAAAUACCAUGUUUCUUUCAUACAACACUUUAAUUUUUCACCUUUUAUUGCUCUCGAGACAGAGAUUUGGACUAAAAACCAAGAAUAUAUAUAUAGUGUAUAUAUAUUUAUUUAUAUUUUAACGUAUAAUUGUUUUCCUGCAAAGAAUCCAUACGAUUUGUAACCCAGUGUAAUUAUAGUUUUUACAAAAUUCAUUUCAGCAAAGGAAGAUCAAAACGCGCUUUAAAUAAUGAUAUGGUGUGUGAUUAAAACAAGAGCAAAUCGUGUUUCCGAUGGGAUCAUCACAGAUCCCCAUUAGGACGACAUGAUGGAGGUAUCUUCCAGAAGAGACACAAUGUAUGAGGUGAUAAUUCACUUCUAAUUUAUUUCCCUGGAAAAUAUCGCCCCCACCUGAAAAGAAGGCGAACGAUUUUCCCUGCCAAAGGGGCUCCACCUUCAUUCAAAUGGGGGAAACCAAACAAUUAAGCAAACAAAACGACAGCAACCACGGCUGCAGUCUCCAACUGCAGAUCCAGCUCCCACUUCAGCUCCAACUCGCCAGCCCCGACUCUUGAUAGCCCCUCCAGAUAGAAACUGUCAAACAAAACAAACUACACGAUAGAAACCAAACAAAGCGAGGCUACCAAAGUGUGCUGCGUUUUAGUACCCGGUACUUGAGGGGUAUAAUUUGUUAAUACAUUUUGUUAAAACUGAAUUUCUACAAUCGGUUUUUGUUUACUUGCCAUUGGAUGCACUAUUAAUAUCAACAGACUAAGUACAAGGAAAGGCGUCAAUGACGACCGACGAAGAGGACCGACUUCGACCUUCGGCGACUACGCUAGCAGCAACAACAACGACCCAUCAAAAAGGAAGUUUAAAAUGAAAAAAAAAAACACUACAAAAAAAUCGAAGCCCCAAGAAAAGGACAGAGAGAUGCAUCGAAUAUAAAUUAACUGCCAUGAACGAGUCAAAGUAACUAUAAUUUUUAGUGCAUUGGCGAGAAAAGCAGUAACAAUGAAGGCUGCACAGAAAGCCAGAAAGCAAAACGACAAAGCGGCAAUGCUGGUGGGCGUGUACCGCUCCCCAUCCGCCCACCACUGCCCCUCCCCCUUGCCCCCGCCGAGGUGCAAGCCAAGUGCAAUCUAUGCCAGCGAUCGACCAAGUACAAAUGGUUAGGAGAUGCAACAGUAACAGCGAAAACGGCAACAGCCACAAUAGCUGCCGAGGUCAAACAGCAAUCAAUAAAGGUCAGCGACUACCGCCAGGGCACGCCUGAGUGCCUACCGUCAAUGCCGGAUUGCUGGAUUGUCUGUCGUUUUGCCGGAUUGCCGGAUCAUUG